AUGUUCACGGCGCCGUUCGGUGGUUGGUCCGCUUUACAGUUAUUCAAGAUGGAACACAAGGAGGCGGGUUGCCAGCAGCCGGAGGGCCCAAUCCUAUGUGUUAAUAACUGUGGCUUCUUUGGCAGCGCCGCGACCAUGAACAUGUGCUCCAAGUGCCACAAGGAGAUGGUCAUGAAGGAGGAGCAGGCCAAGCUGGCUGCCUCCUCCUUCGAUAGCAUCGUCAACGGUGGCGAUGGUGGGAAAGCACCUGUUGUUGCGGCUGUGGCCGCGAGCGCAGAGGUGGCGGUUGCUCAAGUUGACGUGAAGGCGCUUGUUGUGCAGCCUGCUGCUGAUGUUGCAGGCACCAGCGAAGCUGUUGCCGUGAGCCCCAAGAGGAAGGAGGGGCCGAAUCGGUGCUCAACUUGCAGGAAGAGGGUUGGGCUGACGGGAUUCAACUGCCGAUGCGGUAACAUGUACUGUUCACUGCAUCGCUAUUCCGACAAGCAUGACUGCCAGUUCGACUACCGGACUGCAGCUAGGGAUGCCAUCGCCAAGGCCAACCCGGUGGUGAAGGCAGAGAAGCUCGACAAGAUUUAG
Molecule: ribosomal RNA, 576 nt
Filed under: Triticum aestivum (bread wheat)
Lineage: Eukaryota; Viridiplantae; Streptophyta; Magnoliopsida; Poales; Poaceae
Description: partial small subunit ribosomal RNA
Source: RNAcentral